Molecule: small nuclear RNA, 104 nt
Organism: Otolemur garnettii (small-eared galago)
Lineage: Eukaryota; Metazoa; Chordata; Mammalia; Primates; Galagidae
Source: Ensembl
GCGCUCACUUCAGCAGCACAUAUACUAAAAUUGGAAUGAUAGAGAGAUUAGCAUGGCCGCUGUGCAUGGAUGACACGCAAAUUUGUGAAGCGUUCCAUAUUUUU